Zootermopsis nevadensis is the source of this 1535-nucleotide non-coding RNA. The record is from RefSeq and is a predicted model, not a curated record. NCBI's taxonomy places the organism in Eukaryota, Metazoa, Arthropoda, Insecta, Blattodea, Termopsidae.
AUGAAAUAUUAUCAAUCAUUGGAAUAUUACCAUGUUAAUGCAUGAAGUUUAGUUAAAGUUACAAAUUUCUUCUUUUAAAUUGCUAAUUUGUACUAUAAUGACUGACAUUUUUAAUUUAAAUCUUCUCAGAAAAAAACGAUUUUCACGUCCUUCCGUCGCGUGAAACAUAAAUAGAUCUGUUUCCAAGUAAUUGUAGUAACUACUCAAAAAAUCUUAUUUAGGUGCAAGUGUCGUGGGUUGGUAGGAUCUAUAAACUAUUUCUUAUUAAUUCUAUGUAUAUUACUUCAAAGACAGUAAUUUAUCAUAAGUCGAAAACGAGUUUCAGUUGUGUGACUAAAUGUGAUGUGUAAUUUAUUCAUGCGAUUUAAGUAUUUCAUGGCAUUACGCUUGAUUAGGUUAGUUUCUUAGGUUAUGAACCAGGACAGUCAUGUAUAUACGAAUUGAAUGGUGAUGAGAGAAUCGGUAGGAAUGGCCCCAUUGAUUCUGUAAUUGAACCUAGAAGGCAGAUUAUUUUCAACUUACUGGGGGCUUUUCCACAAUUUUCCUGUACUGUUCAUGCCCAUUUCAACAGUAUUUUCUCCAGAAGAUGUAAUGGGGAAGGUAGGUCUCUACUGUCCGCUCAUUGCCACUGUGUCGCGUUUGGUCUGUGGGGUUUGUAUAUAGAAUGGUACAAAACCAUGGGACUUAAAUGGUCUCCAAGGAUCAAAGCUGUCGUUUACUCAUUUCCAUCGUAACGUGCCUUACAGCCGUGGAAAUCCUGUACAGACUUUGAAGCAUAUGCACAACUAAAAUGUGUACAGUAAUUAUUAACACAUUAUUAAUUGCUCUGGUAUAUUAGAAAAUGUUAAAUGGCUCAUCUAUAAUCAUAUGACCUUCAUCUGCCCUAUUUUUUCUUUUUUAUGAUGAUAACGGGGUGUAAUUAAUAAAGAUUGUCUUCUACAUUUUCCAGUAUCCUUUACGGGUCCCGAGCUUUUCAGUUGGCUUGAUCUAUGGACAUUCGGUAGGACUCCUCGGACGAGGGAUCGGCCCAUCACAAGGCCUCUACCUGUACACGCGACAGCACAACACAGCAAAACAUCCGUGGCUUGAGUGGGAUUCGAACCCACGGUCCCAGCGACCAGGCGGCACAAGGCCCACGCCUCAGACCGCGCGGCCACUGCGGACCCCUAAUGAAGAUUGUCAUAUCCAGAAAUAUGUUUCUGCUACUCGGAUGAUACAUAUUAGACAUCGCUUGCUAAUUUAUAAAAUAAUAAAUUUGUGUAUGUUGGUUGUAUGAUCUUACAGGGGAGCUGAAUGUGAAACUGAUUGCUAAUUAGUGAUUAAUAAAUUAAGGGAAGGGUUUUUUUAAGUUGAAAAAGAGAUAGAGCAGAGAUAUUUUAACAUGAGCAGAUUUUACUUAAAAUACAAAAUGAUAACGCCGCUGUGAAAACUCAUUCUUUUAAAUGUACUGUUUUAUGGAUUUCAUCAACCACCAAUACAAUACUUUAUUUUUCCUGUAGAUCAAAAAUACAUUGAUAUAGGAUAUGUCAAAUGUC